This 16146-nucleotide long non-coding RNA is filed under the name Ricinus communis (castor bean). Its description in RNAcentral is "long non-coding RNA (RCOM_LNC002057)". The record is from RNAcentral. Lineage: Eukaryota; Viridiplantae; Streptophyta; Magnoliopsida; Malpighiales; Euphorbiaceae.
AAGCAGUGGAAGAUGCUCAAACGGAGGAGAACUGAAGUAUAUCUCAUACAAGUUUUACUUCUUCACCCACAGUAGAGUUUCCUGUCUCACUUCACAUGGGUAUGCACACAAAUUAUACAUAUUAACCAACCAAUUAGUGCUCUUAAAAUGGGGUAUGUAUAUGUUCUGAUCUCAUCUAUUUGAUUCUUCAGCUGGCACAAUUUCUUUAGGCAAUCAUGUUUAAAUAUUUGACUAAUAGUGAACUUAGUAUACUCUGGAAUGCAUGCUGAUGCCACUCUCUUCUCAAUAUUUUGAGAUGCCUGACAGUUGCUUGUAUGAUCAAUGAAUCUUCACAACCGUUGAUGAAUCACGAAAAUAAUUACUAUCUUAUGAAAAAUUACAUUUUUAUUUUAUUUUUUGAAUUAAAAUAUUUUUCUAAUUCUUCUUAGUUGCAAAAAUAAUUAUGAUAUUAUAAGAAUAUGACUACUUUGUAGUCAAUAGUUUAUAAAAGAACUAAUAAGUUAAUAGAAAAGAAUAAAAUAUUUUGUAUUUGUAGUCUCCAAAAGAAAUGUUAUUCUAUGAUAAAAUGAUAAUUAUUGUUAUACUUCUUGUGUAACUGAAAGGCUCAUAAAUUCUACAGGUAUAUAAAUUUUUAAUAUUGUCUCUGAUAUUUUUCACUUUUAUUUGAUAACAAAGCUAAUAGAACUAUAACACUUUUAAUAUUAAAUGUUAAACAUUCCAUUUUUUCUGUUUGACUUCUUACCCACUUUAUGUGGUACUUAAUAUUUUUAUUAAAUUAUUUUUAAUAUUAAAAUAUUAGAGGAUAUAUUUGUAAAAAUAUUAAAUGCCAUAUCAGGUGAGUAAAAAAUACGUUUGACACAAAAAAUGGGUCAUGUAGCAUUACUCAUUAGGCAUAAAAACAUAGAUUCCACAUACAAAAUGUGACAAAGUCCAAUUCUAGAAAAUAAUAGGGAAAAAAGAAUUUAUUUUGAAAAAGAAAACGGAUAAUAAAAGUAUAGGAAUAAAUAAAUUCAAAAAUAAAACAUAGGUUCAAUGUAUAAAAUGUGACAGGUGCAAUUCUAGAGAAUAACAAGGAAAAAGAAUUUAAUUUGAAAAAGAAAAUGGAUAAUUCUUAGCUGCUGUAUAUCUAUAAUAUGAAGAUGGGUAUUACAGAUAGAAGCUAAUACAACCCCACAAGUUAAAUAUAAUUAUCAGAAAUGAGGUUGGAACAGUGAACAAGAAAAGAGCAACCAUUCCCAAAGCCAAGCUAGGCCUGGUGUUCAUCAAUACUGAUUGCAGAACCCCCGCUGCUUCACACACAUCUGAAUUAUAAUCUGGGUAAUAUUUCUUCUCCCAGUCCAUCCACUCAGAUGGGAUUUCAUUAUCUCCCUCUGCAGUCUUCAUCUCCUGAAUCCGUUUUCUAAGGACAACCAUGUUCUCGUCAAUCAACUUACCAUCAUAAUCACGCCUGUAUCUGUCUCUUCCGGAUGCUGCAUGAACCCUGAUGCAGAGUUUGUUAUGAUGCCUGUUAAAACCUGUACUUGGGUGCAAGUGCAGGAAUUUGACAGAAAGUUGAUGCGAUCCUAAGAGAGGUGACGGGUAGAGGAGAGUAGUUGCCUGCAUUGCUUUUGUAGUUCCACAGGAAUGUUUCUAAUAAGUCUGAAAAUAGGUAUGGCGCCGAGUGCCUAGAUCAUGUAUAUAAGAUUUCCGGACUAGAUAUAACCGCAUAGGAUUGUAGACAAUAAUGACAUUUGUUAGGUAUUGAGAGUGUAAAUUGACGAGGAAGCUCUCUCCAAAACAAAAUUUUGACGGCUACCAAUUCUCCUCUCCGUCGUACGAAAACAAAUAGAAAGUUCCUGAGGAAAAAAAGUCAUCAGGAAUUGAGUUUGGCCGAUUCUGUUAAUCAUUCGUGGUAGUACAAGUCAAUUAUGAUCGAGUGAAGGUGUCUGAAUUUGAUGAUGUUAUUAGUUUGAAUUGGUAAAAAGAAGGGCUCCCUCUAGAAGAAAUAAAUAGAUAACUAAAAUAACAAAAUCUGUUGAGAGGAACUGUUUAGGAUCAGGAAAUCGGAAACCAAGGAUUUUCAGAGUCUGUGAAAUAUAAAAGGCUGAAGUUGACGUCGGAAGACGAGAUUACAACAUAGUAGUACCAUACCAUUCUAUUAGCUACAUGAGGGAUCACUCAGCUGUUUUAUUUUCAGAUAUGCCAACCCUAUUUCCAUGAUCAAUCUAAAAUAUAAACCUUAAGAGGGAAAUUUACCCUUUAAAUAAACUCGUAGAUCAAUUCAAAUAUUUAUAAAUUUAUUUGAAAUUUGUUUCAUAAUUACAGCCUAUUUUUCUUAAUCUCUCUCUUUUCUUUUUUUUCUUUUUUUCUUAAUAGAAUCAAAAAAUACAUAAUAAAAUUCUCAUAUAAUAAUAAAGAUUGAUGCUUUUAUUCUUCAAUAUCAGUUUUGAUAAAGCUCUACUAAUUUUUUAGGUGUUUUUUCUUCAAAUAUAAGCUUUUAUUUAUUAGUUUAUUUUUCCCAAAGUAAGACUUAAAACUGUCUUAUUCUAUUUACUUUACGUCUUCCCCUAUUUUUGUCCAACAAAGGCUUAACCUCAUAAUUCUACACCUAAUCUGAUUUCAGUGAAGGAUUCAUUGCGUUCGUUAUGUCCCUCUAUUCCAUUGACUUACGGUGGAUUGGAAAAUACAUUGCAUUUGCUGCAUUUUGCAUUCAUGUCCCUCUAUUUCAUUGGGACUGCAAGGGAUGCUUUGCUUUUGCUUCAUGUCCCUCUUCUCUACCAUUCACAUGCCCAAUUUCAAUAUUAUAAAGACUUGGCCAUUUCUCUGAAGCUAAAUGCUCAAGUUGAAUAAACCUUCUGAUGACUACAUUUCGGUUAGAAUUUCCGGAUUUUGAAAAUCACAAUGCAAAUACUGGACAACUUUUGUCCGGUACUACCAUUUGUUUUGAUGUUGUCAAAUUCACUGAAUCCAUAUUUGAAUACUUGCCACCUGUCACAUCCGCACCGAAAAUUUUAAUUCUUACUUACAUCAAAUAUUAAUUACUUCUUACCUACAUUUCACAUAUACUUUUAAAUAAUUAAUAUAUAUUUAUUAAUUUUAAAUAAUUAAAAAUACACUAUUCCAUGCUAAAAUUCUUAUUCAUUAGUGUUAUUCUUGUUCUAUUUAUUGCGGUAUAUAUAAAUAAUAUAACUGACACCUCAAACAAACAAUUAAACAACUCCAUUCCACUUGCAUAACAAUGAUUUCAUCGUUAUCCAUUGGACUUGCCAAAGCACAAGGACAAGUGAAAACGACUGAAUUCGAUGAUGAUGAUGAUGAUGCCAGUUGAAUUGGUAUAACAAGACUCCCUCUAGAAGAAACAGAUAAAAUAAAACCACCUGUUGAAAGUGUCCGAGAGGAAUCAGAAACCAAAGAAAUCAAUGCCUGUCCUACUGUAAACGGCAUGGCACUUGAUUACUCCGUUCAAUUCAAAUUUACACAUGCCAGCUAACUUAUCUGCUUGUACAAUUGCCUUCUAAAUUAUCCAUUGCAAUGACCGAAUCCAACUUCAACCUUUAUGUUUCAUAGCCUUAUCCAAUAUUUAAUUAUCAGUGGAAGCUGCAUCAGUUUCAAAAUAUACAUAAAUGAACUUGGCUGUUGUCAAAGUUCUAAUAGAGCAGCAGCUCAGAAAUAGGCAUGGGAGUGAGACCAUCCUUUAUUGUAAAGACAUCUUCUUUAAUUAGUACCUGUAUGAGAUAAAUCAAUAAAUAGAGGUAAUCUUAUGACUAUAUCAGUAAUGCCUAAAUAAUUACAAACCUUCUAAGAUAAAUGGUCGGAUUUGGUCUAGACCGGGUGGUUCAUACUGCUGGGUCAACUCGUCUUGUUUCAAUGGAAAAGGAUUGAGUUGGAGUUGUUUGAUUUGGUCAGCGUCCAAAGGCUCGUGCUCUAGUUGUGGUUGAGUUUGUUGUUCAAGAGGUAGUGGCUCCAGCUGUUGAUACUUGGGCUUGUUUUUCUUAAGGAGAAGGUAAGUGGUGCAGUACCAAAACAGUAAAAUUCUACUUUGAGCUACCACUGUAUCGCUGAUAUGGCUUCCUCCGAAGGAGAGGCGCUCAAGUGCCUGCAAAAUAAAAAUUUCAGAGGAAAUUUUAUAUGUUAAUAAGUAAAUAAAGUACAUAAGUUUUGAAGAACCUAAACUUGCUAAACAUAUCCAUGUUAGCCACUUUGACAGUAUCUUAUCUUUACACGUUGCAAUCAUUCUCAAAAGUGUCCUGGAAAUUUAUUUAUAGCCCAGUUGAUCUGCAAAGCAUGUACAAGUUUUGGAGGCUCUGCAUGAUGUCUCUACUAGUUAACAUUUACAUGAUCUACCUCAAAUUUCAAAUUAGUCCCAAUGGGAUCAAAAGCUUAAAUUAGAAAAAAAAAUGAUAUUUUCUCUGACAAUUCUCUGUUUUUCUUCCCCAAAAGAGGAACUGCAGUUUUGCAUUAAUCUUACACGACUGGUCACAAUGUCAAUUUACCUGUUCACCAGUUUCAAUGUCAAAUGAAUUUUGAUGAUCAAACUUAAGCCCUCUGAAUUCAUUGAUGCAAAGCCCUUGAAAUGCCCUGAAAUCACAUGAAGCAGCAAAGGUGUUGCAGAACCAUUAAGGAAAGAAAAAUGAAACAAUGUUCAACUGCAUCAUCUGGUUAAAACAGACCUAAGAAUUUGUAAUAUAAACAGCAUUUGAUUUUACCAUCUUAUCAGAGAAACAUUAGGUAUCCAUCUGAAGAUGAUUGGUGUAUUAUCUGAAUUGACAUAAUACCCUCCAAAUACAAUAAAGACUGUCAUUAGAGAUGGCCCUAGUGCCAUUGCUGCUUCAGUGGUCGGAACCAUAGCUCCAACGGUUAGACCCAUUGCAGAUGCAGCAAAUGAUUCUGCAGUCACAAUUCCACAGAACUUGCCAAACCUAGAACACAAAUUAAAAGAUUCAGUCACUCCAGGAAUAUAUAGCAGCUUUCCUACCAAACUUUCAGUGCACUACAACAGCAAGGUGCAUGAGCAUGUCUCUUCAGUGCAGCACACACUUGAAGCUGAAGGCGUGCAUUUUGCACCUCCCGACACCACGUAUGCUCUCACAUUCUAUGCCAACAACUUCAGCAUAAAGAUAGUAGCCCACAAGUAAACUAAAUGUUUUGUUAGAUAAACCAAGGGGCUCCAAAAACACUACAUUUAGGAACAUAUUAUCAACCAUAAUUUCUAGAAGAUAAGCUCUGGGAAGUUAAAAUCUCCCCUUCUCCAGUCCACAAAUGACCCAAUCAAUUGCAUGAUUGGAAAAUUCAACCUUUUAUAUUUUUGAUACAGAUGCAUAUCAACAUAUUUAUCAACCACCAAAAGAGUGACCAUUGGACCUGGACAAAGUAGGAUGAAGACGUGCCAUUGGAUACAAUACAGCACCAAACAUUAAUGGAAAUGCUGCUCCAACAGGAAUCUCAGCUAUCAAUUUAGAGAGCAAAUAUGGUCCUAAUGCAUAAGAUCCCUUUGCCCGCUCUCUAUCUACAAUUGAACGCUCCUUAGGAAACACACCCACGGUUUUUGUGAGAGCAGCCAUAGCAGUGUUUAUUGCUGCGACCUGCAAGAUACCAAAUGUCCAUGAAAAAAGUUUUGGAAACUUUAAGUUGUGAUAUUUUUAUCAAAUUCAUAAAGUUGUAUGCUGCCAUCUAACAAUUUAAGAGGUCAACUAUCAUAAUGCUGUGAACACAUUGAAAUCAGAAACGGAAAAUGUGAUCAUAGAAGUCAGUGAAACAAAAUCGUAAAACCUGGCAACGAGCUUAUACUCAACCAUGUGACCAAGGUCCUUUGUUUCUAAUCAUUCCCUAUUGAAGCCAAUCUCCACUUGAAAGUAAAGAUUAUACAUUCAAACUACAACCUUGUGUUCCAUCUUCCGGCAAAUACAGAGAACAAGCCGAAAAGUAAACUAGUAGUUGACAAUUAAGUAGUCCAAAAUCUUACCUUUACUAUGAAUUUUAGCCUUAUAUAAGAAACACGCUAACGAAUUUUUUGAAAAAGGCUUGAUUUUAUUUAAGGCGUGUCUGGAAAUCCAUCUGCAAAGAGAGCUAGGAUUGAAGGGGAAUCAAUAAUAUAACAUACCUGCAGCAAUCCCAUCCUGUCUAGUAUUGAAGUCUGAGAUCUUCCCAUUCUCCAAAAAACUGAGCCAAAUAUUAUAGCUGAUGCAAUUGACAUUCUUGUCCGAACUUUAUUAGUUGGCCCAUCACGAGAAGCCUAAAAACUCAUUAAAAGAUGCUAAUUAGGUAAAUAUGGGAGAUGAAGACAUUUGAACAAUGCUAUCUAAAACAAACUAGGAGAGCCAAAAGACCAUCCUAUUUUGUGGUAUUCACCUCCAAGAAUGUAAUAAAUACUAUGAAUUUACUUGACAAAAUUCUGUGCAUAUGUAUCAAGAAUGCAAUUUUCAUUCUAGUCCCAAGGAGUGGAUUGCUAAUAUAGAAUUGGGUAAAGGAUAAAGAGGUUUGCUAAUCCAUACAGAUAAACAAAAGCAGACUAUGUAAUCCCUGUAGUUCAUUUCCGCAACAAGUACUUCACAUGAAAACAAAUUCAUAUUGAUCAAGUGAGAGUUAAAGAACCAACCUGCAUCCAUGCACGUUUAAGAAGCAACCAGAAUUGCUUCCACCACGACUGUUUCCUCUUUAUGCUUAACUUCAUGUCAUUCUUGGAGCUCCCCCUUCUGGUAAGGGGUGUUGCAUAAAGCACUGUCAAUAACUUCUGUGAGAAUGACUCAACAAGGCCAUCUAUCCUUUUCCGAGAGGAGUAUACACUUUCAGAAGAACUGUAAUCAAUGGAUAUGAGAUCAGCCAAAAAUUCUGCUGGAUUUACAUGAUCUGGGCAGCGGUAUCUGUAAAUUGGAACAGCAAUUAACCAUGAUUAGGAAAUUAACAGUUCCAAAAUCAGCUAUAUGUUCUUUUACAUUACUAAUAACUUCUUAUAUGCAAAAAUGAAACAUCUUUUCUAUUUUUCCAAGAGUAAAUAACCAUACGAUAUGGUGAAAAGCUCAAUGUUUGUCACGUGUAGAUGGAAAAUGUGACCCAAGAAGAAAAGAAGUGCUAGAACUCAAAGGACAAGAAGUUAAUCUAAGCAGGAAAGCAAAAACUUUCAGAAAUGCUAUCAAAUUGAUAUCUUAUCAAAUAGAAACCUUGAGAGCAGUCAAAGCUAUUUUAAGUUCCACUCACCUAUGUGUGACGAAAUAUAAUUUUCUAUUUCUAUUACCAAAUUUAUUUACAAGUAGAAUAGCACAGUGAUGCAUCAUAGACAGGGAAGGGAACAUUGUCACCCAUGACACAAUAAUGCUCGUCAACAUCAUUCUCAUAUUAAUAUAUCUUAGAUAAUCUAAUGACAUUAAAGGUCAUAUGCAAAUGGGAAAAAUUAGUUCCACCAGCAGCACUCACAUUCCAGUAAGUAGGUGGACUUCAUGGGCCUGAUUCAGUUUUGUGCAAUUCUGAGAGCUUAGCUAAUAAUUUCCUUUGUUUAGAGAGUAAAAGAAUGCAAGAAUUUAAUUCAAUUGGAUUCUAUUAGCCAAUUCAAUUGAAUCAUAUCAAAAGUGUUAUGUUUAGCAAGUGCACAUGAUUUAUUCAAAACAAGCCUUCUAGAGAUUGUUUAAUACGUAUACUGAAACUUCGCAUCUCACCCUAAUAUCAUAAAUUGGAUAGAAUCCUGCGUUAUACAAACAAUCAUCAAUAGGAAGUAGCAUGGAGACAAUUAACAUAAGAGAAAAACAGGUCUAACCCCAAUUCUGAGAAGUAUGCCAGUGGUUCUUCAUGUGCUGGACCAGUAUAAACAAGUUCACCCUCUGUUAGCAAAACAAUGUCGUCAAAUUUACUGUACACUGAACCUCUAGGCUGGUGAAUGGAGCAAAUUACAGUAUGUCCAUCCUGGGAGAGUUGUCGUAGAGUUUCCAUUACUCUCUCUGCCUGGAAAGCAUCAAGCCCUGAAAAAUAUUAAUUCCCCAGUCAACUGUAUUAAUCACCGGAUUGACAGCUUGAACUUUUGGAACUAGCAAAUGGAGUCAAUGGAGAACUCUAGCUUAAAGCAGCAUAACUAAGCCCACUUUCUGAGCAGGUCGAAAAGACUGUUCAUUUUAACUCCGUAAUGUUCUAAAUGAACCAUGGGAUCCAUGAAAUUUCAUUUUCUAUAACAAGCAUUUGCUUGCAGCUAGUAACUAAUAAGCAUCAUUUGGAGAAAUACGAUCUACACAUACUUACAAGAAAAAAUGGUGAUUUUAUCAUGUCUGCAACAUAUCUGUUGUGUUUGAAAAUUACAUAUGCAAAUCACAGAGGGGAACACAGGUGAUGAAAAGAAUGACAAUGAUUACAAAAUUCUAAAACUCAUUAACAACAUCUAGAGAAAAUGCAACUGGAGAAAAUAAAAUCAUCAAGUAAUAUCACGUGAGAGAAUCAGAAGUAGCGUGUGUACCUGUAGUGGGUUCAUCAGCAAAUAUGACAGAUGGACUAGCAAUAAGUUCACAAGCUAAUGAUAAACGUUUCUUUUCACCACCACUUAUCCCACGAACUUUUGCAUCACCAACGUUUGAGUCAGCACAACUGACCUAAUAAUUCCCAAAGCUUCAUUGAACCCUUUUUCACAUAAAAUUCGCAUCAAAAAAUUUCAAAUAGAAAUUUCACACUUACCAAACCUAACUUGAACAACAGAUUAUUAACAUAUUCAUCUCUCUCUUCGACAGAAGAUAUUUCAGGAAGUUGAAGUUGAGCGGCAAGAGAAAGUGUCUCUCUCACUGUCAACUGCGAGAAAAAAAGAUCUUCCUGUCUCACAUAAGCAAACCUACAAAAAAUAACAAUAACAAUAAUUAAAGACAAAAUGUUUAAUUUAAUGCAAAUUAACAAAAAGUAAAGCAAUAUUACUUGUAAGCUUGAUUCGAACAAGGUCUCCCAUUGACUUCCAAAAGACCUGACAAAUGCAACCUUGUUGAUGCCAUUAAUUGGCCAGCUAAUACGUUAAGCAACGUCGUUUUGCCUGACCCUGAUGGUCCCAUUAUUGCUACCAAUCUUCCUGGUUUCGCUUCUCCAUUCACAUUUUUUAACAGAAACCGAACCUACACACUCAUUUUAUAAAAUUAAAAAUUGCUGUUCAAUUCAAAUAUUAACUUAUAAAAUUUAUCUACUCACAUGUUUAUUUGAUUUAUCAGAAAGAGAACACGUGAUGUUACUCCAACGGAUUGUAACCGGAACAACUUUGUCAGUGAUCGGAGCUUCUUCGCCGGAGAAGUCGUUAUCAUUCUUCUUCUCAUCAUCGUCUUCAGGCAAAAGAGCAGGGCCAGGUCCAGAAAACAGUCGGAGCAGAAGAGCCACCGCGGCCGCCGCCACAACCUGACCGAAACCGUUACCUCCAAAUUUAACAACCUGACCGACCACUUUCCCGCCUAAAUGCGCCAUCUUUGUUUCCCGCUUUUAUCUUCAACAACCUUCUCCUCCUCCUGUGACCUACUGAAACUAAGCUAUGUGUUUUUAAAAGAUAAUGUUGUCACUGUACUUUAUUACUAAUUUAUAUCUUUUAGCGGAAGCGAGAUGCUGUUGCUAAAAUUCGGUUGCUGUCGCCGAAAGUAUUUUUUUUAUGGGAUCAAACGGUGUCGCUUCUGCUUUAUUUUACAGUGGAUUGGGGAAAAGCCGACACGUGUGGUGCGUUGAGGAUAAGACGGAAUUUAUCCGGCUAAUAUCGACAGCCUACAGGUGGAAAACUGUGGCUUUUCGUUUUUAGCCAUAGUAGUACAGAUAAACAAAAUAACAAUUUACUACCCAGUAAAUUCUUUUAUUUCAUUUUAACCCUAUAUGUUUCUAAAACUGUUGAAUUAAACCUUAAUCAAGUUCAAAAUUUGUAAAUACACUGCCACUGCUCCAAAUCUAUGUAUAUGUUAAAUUUUAACAUAUAAAUUUUUUUAAAUACAAGUCUCUAUAUGUAGACCACAUAAUUUCUAUCUAAAUAUAUAUUAUUUUAAUAUAAAAUUUAAAUUUUAUGUAAUUUUAUUCUUUUAUUAGUUUAAUGAUUGAUUAGUUAUAUUUCUAAUAAAAUAAUUUUUUAUUGUUUUUAAUAUUAUAUUAACUCAUUUAUUAGUUUUUUUAUUAGACAAUAAUUUUAGUCUAAGAGAUAAUAUUUUUAAUAUUAUAAUUAAAUAAUAAGAUAGUAUCCUAAUUAUCCAAUAAUUUCUUAUAAUAUUAUUAAUUAUAUUUAUAAUAUUAAUUUAUAUAAUAUUUAAAAUUAAUUAAUAAAUAUUCUUAAAUGAUUUUAUAUUAUACUAAUACUUUUAUGAAAUUAAUAAAAUUUUAAGUUAUUAAAAGAUUAAAAAUUAUCUAGAAAUAUUUAAUUUUAAAAUUUUUAAAAUAUUAUAAAUAAUCUAAAAAUAAUAACAAACUUACGAUCAUAGGCCCAUGCUAAAGUUUCAAUCAAUUCCUGCCAAUAUCCAUGCCAAGAAAUUAAAAACAUAAAUCCAGUAGCCCAAACAAGAUGUUAAAAGUAUUUAUAAAUUUAAUUUAUAUUAUCAUUUAUGAUUAAAAUAAUUAUAAAAAUCGUACAACUUACGAAUAAAUAACUAGUGUUAUUAAAAUGUAUAGAUACUGUAGAUAAAAUAAACAACUCUUAACAACUUGAAAUAUUAAUAAUGUAUGUUAACUUUCUAAUAAAGACGCAUAAAAAUAAUAAUUUUAAGACAUCAAUUACAACAAUUAAUGAAAUCUUUAGAAUAAGCAAUGUCACCAUUUAAUAGUUGAUGAUAAGAUCAACUAAAUAAAAUUGUAAUAUAUUUUUAAAGGAUUCAAUAUCUUUUAUAUUUCUAAGUUUUAUUAAAUUAUACUAUUAAAUUUCUCUAAUUUUAUGACUAGUUUUAACAUUUUUUUCAUUUUAUUAUGUUAAAUUAUAACACCCUUCAAUUAAAAAUAAAUUUUAAAUGAAAUUAAAAUAUCAAUUUAUCUUUACUGACAUUACUAUAUUAUUAUCAUUUGUAAUAAUUAACUACAGGCUUUGUAUAUAUAAUAUUUUUAUAAUUUAUUUAUAUUCAAAGAUUAUAAUUAAAUUAUAUUUUUUUUACUUAGUUUAGUAUUAAUUAAGUUGAUUAAUUAUAAAAAUAAUAUUUUAUAAAGCUUCUCUAAUAUAACUUUAUAUAAGAUAUUUUCUCUAGUUAAAGUAUUUUAAUAUAAAUUUUGGUUUAAUAAUUUAUAACUUUAACUUUUAAAUAUAAAAGUAUUAAUUUAAUAAAAUUUAACUUCUUAUUUAAAAGUGUUAAAAUUAUAUGUUAGACUAAUUAUCUUAAUAUUUUUUCAAAAAGGAUGUUAAAAUUACUUAUUAAAAACAUAUGGUCCUAUUAAUACAAUUUAAUAAGAUUUAGAGAUAGAGUUGGUAUUUUAAAUAAAAAUAACAGUGGACUAAUAAAAAAAUUUAACAAAACAAUAUAACAAUUAAUUUCAUUAAAUAAAAAGAUGUUAAAAUUAAUUAUUAAAAGCAGAGAGAUUACUAAUGUGAUAUGAUAAAACUCAUAAGCAUUAAAAAGUUAAAUUUUAUAAUAUAUUAUAUAAAUUUUAGUGGGGGUAAUUACUAUUUACUUAUUGUAUUUGUCCAUAUUAUACUGAUUAUUCCUUUGACAUUUAAAAUAUAUAUAUUUUUAUCUUUUUAUUUUGUUAUUUUAUACCAAAAACUCCUUCCGUCAGAAUUUCCGUUAAACAACCAUUAACUAAGUUUAAUUUUAUACUAUUUGCUCAUUGAUCUAGUUUAGUAUACAAAUUGCCUCUUAUAAUUUAUUUAUUAUACUAAAAUCCUUUUGUCUAAUUUUUAUGCAAAAAUCAAUUUUAAUGUUUAUACAAAAAUAAUUAAUUAGUGUUCUUUAAUUACUCUAGUAUUUAGCAUUUAAUCAAAUUAUAGUAAAUUUUAAAUAUCUUAAGAGUAUUUAUAUUAAUUAAAAUAUUAAAAUUUCAUAUAAUUUAAUUUUAUAUUAUUAAAAUAAAAUAGAUAGUAUUAUUAUUAUUAGAUUUGUAAUUUUGAUAAGAAGUUUGAAGAUCAAAUUAUAUUACUUUUAUUAAUUUAGGUCCUUAUUUAUAUUGCCUUUUAAAACGCAAAGAGAUUUUAAUAUAAUAAAUAAAAUAUAAGGGGCAAUUUAUAUACUAUAUAAAAAAAAAAUCAAAAGACAGAUAAUAUACCGUCAAACUAGGGGCUAUGAUGCAUCCUAGGAGGGAAUGAUGUUUGCGCGCUCGUUAAAAGAGCUACUCCUUACUCAAGUUUCCAAUGAAGCCUAAGGGUUCCUCCGCAAGGUUCGUCCACGGAGGGUGAGUCAGGGCCCCGCACAAUGAGCUCUUUUUGUUCGUCGAGGUCUUCCAGCAUUUUGAAGAGGAGCAGUGAUUUGUUACAUCGAUCAUUUCUUUUGGUUUCUAUUAUUUAGUAUGAAAUUAUAAAAUGAAAAAAUAAAAUUUAAAAUAUAAAAAGUAACUAUUAUUAAUAUAAAAAUAUUAUUUUAGUAUCUAAUAUUUCAUAUUUAACUCAUUUUAGUCUUUCAAUAUGAAUUAGUUUUAUAUUUAUAUAAUUUAAUUUCUAUAGAAAUUUGAAUAAUAAUAAUAAUAAUAAUAAUAAUAAUCAAUUUAUUUGAGAAAUUUAGAAUUUUUAAUCUCCAUGUAAAAUUAGAAGGAACUAUAAUUCGAUUGGACAGAGAAGUAAAAUUGUGCAUAAUAAACAAUUGAAUAAAACUAAAGAAAUAAUAUUCAAAAAACUAAAGAAAUAGGCCGACCAAAAAUUCGAAAUCCCUAACAGCAAAAACUAUAAAACCUGCAAACCCCGAUUUCUUUCCCAUCACAAUUCUCCAACUAUGGAUUCAUACCUUUCACCACCACCGCAAUUACAAGAAGACUCAUAUCGGAAUUGGGCGGAGCUACCACGAGACGUGACGGCGUUGAUUCUUGAUAAAGUGGGUGCAUUCGAUAUCUUGGGUUCUGCUCAGUUUGUAUGCUCUUCGUGGAAUAGUGUAUGCAAGGAUCCAUCAAUGUGGAGAUCAGUUGAAAUCCAUCCUCUGUGUGAUUUCUGGGACUUGCCUUUUGAUCUUGAAGCAUUGUGUAGGAAUGCAGUUGAUAGGAGUCGUGGUGGCCUGAUUUCUAUCAGUAUUGAGUACUUUGCUACUGAUUCUCUCAUCAAAUACAUUGCUGAUAGGUAAUCUUCAUAAUAAUUAAUUCCUUUCUGGGUUUUAAUUAUUUUUCAAUUUAUGAUGUGGAUCCUUUUUUUUUUGUGAUUGUUUUUUUAGUAAUUUGAUUUCUUUUUUUAUUUCUUCACAAAAUUGAAUGCGGGUUUAAUUUUAGUUAUUUAUUAAAGUUGAUGAGGUUUUGUUUGUUGGUUUGAAAGCUGUGGUUAUUGCUUGUUAUCUUGUCUCUCUAGUAAUGUUUAAUUAAAUUUAGAUACAAAAGCAACAAAAAUCAUCCUUGACUGUUGAAAACUUCUAUUUUCUUGCUAGAAUAAGUAUAUGAAAACAAUUUGGUAGAAUGAGAUUGGAAAUGACAUUGCUAUCUAAUUGAAACAAAAUGCAGUCUUGUUUUAGGAUAAGUUUACGAUUUGACAUUGUCUAUUCGGAAUAGGAUUCCUAUGACUUAUCAUCUUGUGUUUUGAUAUACUUGUUCAUAAUCAGGAUGCCAAGGUAAUGAGUUUGUUCGUUUUACUGAAUGACUUGGCUAGGUAGCUGAGGUUUCUACAUAAUGUCCAAUAACCAACUAGGAUAGUCAGGCAAUCUUUAAGGCAAAUUCUUCUUUUUCCUUCGCAUGUUCUUUUACCUGCAAGAAGGGGGAAAACGGAAAGGACGCCAAAAAAAAGAAGAGAGAAAGUGUGCAUACUUGGUGACGGAGGAUUUAUAUAAUUAGAAGACAUUUUCCUUUCUUGCUUUUGCUUAUUUACUAUGAUUUCUCACUGAGUUGCAUCCAUAAGCUAUAUCAAUACAUUGCAUCAACAUAUGUUGAAAAUUACAUAAUGUAUUAGAAGUCUUGAUUUUCAUCUUCUGGUUUUACCUGUGCGUCGAAACUAACUAAAAUUUAAGAAAAUGCACUAAUUUUUUUAUAGAACUUUAUCAAUUUGUGGCUGGAUCCUUUCGCGCUUUAAUUUUCCAUGUGUCAAUAGAGAUGAUAAACAACUAGACGAUAUAACAUUCCAUUAUCUGGCUACAAAAUUAUACAGCAUUGUGAUAUGGUUAGUAUUUUGCUCAGCACCAGCAUUUCUGCAUCGGGAUGUACAUAGAGACAAGCACAUAAUAUUGAGUAAAAAUUGCCAAAAGAUUCAUCUUACAGCAUUGUGCACGAGAAAAUUUGGUUGGUAGAAGUUUGAAAUUGUUUAAGCAUUAUUUCAUUUGUUCACCAUUGCAAGAACAUAUAGCAAUAAAUGAUCUAACUCGAUGACUUAAAUUCAUGUUUGGAUUAUUUACUUGUCAUUGAAACAAAACUGAACCUGGUCAUAACAUGUGAUACUGUUGAUUCGCUGAUUUAGGCAUCUGAUAUUUGGAAUUAUCCAUCUCCUGUUUAUUGGAUGUUGUUUCUAAUUUUUAGUCUUUUGGUCCUUGAAAUGAUUGUAUUCAGUUGCAUGUUUUGCUAAUGUGAGAUGUUUCUGAUGAUAUGGAAAAAGAAAAAAAAAGAAAGAAAAAAGGUGCAAGUGUGGAAGCAUGUACUUUUUAUAUCAAGAUCUCCAUGUGUAAAUUUUCCAAAUUUUUGCUGGAAGGGUUUCAUGCCAUUGUUUAUCUAAGAAAGUAAGUAACUUGUGUUUGAUGAAGAGGCAAUCUUCCAUAGCUUUCAGCUUACAUGUGAAACAAUGAUAUAAAAGUUGCAGAAAAUUAAAGUUCAACUGAAAAUUACAACAUGUCUAUCCUUUACAAAUGUGUGCCGUGAUAAAAUUCAGAAUCACAGGGUAUUCUUUUUGUCAUUAAUAUUUCUAACAUAUACCUUUUUCAGAAUUUCCUGUUAUAAACAUGUUAUGUUCAGUUUCACUGGGUAAGUUGGUUAUUUAUUAGUGUGAAUUUGCUGAUUUCUGAUGUUUUGGUUGUUGAUGGCCACCGUGCAGGUCAAGUCAUCUCAAGCGACUUCGGCUAUUAUCUUCCUAUACCCUUUCUGAUGCGGCAUUUAGUAAAGCUGCCAAAAAAUUUCCAUUACUAGAGGAGCUUGAUAUUUCAUACUGCUCAUUGUCAACGGAAGCUCUUGUAGGUGUUGGAAUUUCCUGUCCUCUUCUGAGAUCAUUGAAGUUGAAUUGCCAGGGGUACAAACGCCCACAUAUAGAGAGUAAUGAGGAGGCACUGGCGAUUGGCCAAUGGAUGCCUCAUUUGCGAUACCUCCAGAUUUUUGGAAAUAAGCUGACAAAUGAUGGUGUGCAGGCCAUUCUUGAUGGUUGUCCACAUCUUGAAUUCCUCGACCUUCGCCAAUGUUUCAAUGUCCAUUUGGAAGGGGAGUUGGGGAUGCUAUGUGGUGAAAGGAUUAAAGAUUUGCGGCGGCCUGAUGAUCCUACCGAUGACUAUCCAUUUAACCCGGAAAUUCCUGACUAUGGGUCAUCUGAGGAAGACUACCCUUCCGGAUUUUCGGAUAUGGAGUUCGCCACUGAUGAUGAUGAUGACUACUAUGCAUUCUCAGACGGCAUCGAGGAUAUCUGACUUUGGUGGGUUGUACUUUGACUAGUGCCUUCCUGAUUGAAGUUGAGAAGCAUCCAUCCAGGUGAGGAAAUCAUGCUGUGCCAGUGAAGAUACUGCUAACCUAACCUUUUGGUGUUUGUAGUAAUAAUACUAAUACCUGCAAAGUCGACUGUUAUGCCUUUCCAUUUGAAAGUUCCACUUUUACAUUGCAUCCAUACUCUAGAUUUAUCCAAGCACUAAUAGGAUGAUGGCGGUGGUAAUAAUAAUGGCCGAUUAAAAUUUGAGUUUUUGUAGGGUGGAGAUGUGUUUACAUGUGAAGGGUGGCAGGCCCAUUGUUUGUCUUCUAUUUGCUACUGAUUUAUAGCAUGGUUUCUCCCCCUUGCUUAAGGUUAAUGUAUAUUUGGAUAAACUGUAUUUGGUUUGCCUUGUAACUAUCAUAAAAGAGACUUGCUUUUCCUCCAAUAUCAAUUCCUUCUUUAAGUGUAAAACAUUAUGAAAAAUUAGCCGGUUGUUUCAGACUGAAAAAGAAGCUGACUUGACUGUCUCAUUUACCAGUUGACAAUUGAUCAUA